GGGCACCAGGCAGCUUCAUUAGCCACUGUGACAUUUAUCUGAUCCACCGCCGCGUCUCCAUGGCAACCCUCAGAUGCAAACACGGCAACGCGUACCGCCGAAAUCACAUGGCCUCACGUGGACCCAGACCCACAGACCCAGGUCCUCCAGCAGGGACCAGUCCACCAUAAACAGACCCAGGUCCUCCAGCAGGGACCAGUCCACCAUAAACAGACCCAGGUCCUCCAGCAGGGACCAGUCCACCAUAAACAGACCCAGGUCCUCCAGCGGGGACCAGUCCACCAUAAACAGACCCAGGUCCUCCAGCAGAGACCAGUCCACCAUAAACAGACCCAGGUCCUCCAGCAGGGACCAGCCCACCAUAAACAGACCCAGGUCCUCCAGCAGAGACCAGUCCACCGUGGACAGACCCAGGUCCUCCAACAGGGACCGGUCCACCAUAAACAGACCCAGGUCCUCCGGCAGGGACCAGUCCACCGUGGACAGAUCCAGGUCCUCCAGCAGGGACCGGUCCACCAUAAACAGACCCCGGUCCUCCAGC
Gasterosteus aculeatus aculeatus (three-spined stickleback) is the source of this 541-nucleotide long non-coding RNA. The record is from Ensembl. Lineage: Eukaryota; Metazoa; Chordata; Actinopteri; Perciformes; Gasterosteidae.